RNAcentral lists this long non-coding RNA (584 nucleotides) under Olea europaea subsp. europaea. Lineage: Eukaryota; Viridiplantae; Streptophyta; Magnoliopsida; Lamiales; Oleaceae. The record is from RNAcentral.
CGUGACCGCCACCUCACAACUAGACCAACCGCAUCACUACCAAAAUCGCAGCCAUCAGAACCACCACUGCACCCUAAUCCAACCCUAGCAAGCAAUAAUUGAAAUUACUAAUUAAAUACAAUAAUCAUAGAGACUGUAAUUUCAGUUUCUAUGAGCACCACUGCCACUUCAGUAGCCACGAUCACCAUCACCAUAUCCAUCACGACCAUCGUCUCCAUAGCCACGGUCACGUCCACCUCCAUAGCCCCAGUCAUCGCCAUAACCUCCAUCACGUCGCCCAUAGCCUCCAUCACCGCCUCAACCCCCAUAACUUCACUCGGGACGUCCGCCAUGGAAUCCACCAUUGCCGCCGGACUGAGCCUCGUUUACGUGAUUUUACGACCAUCAAGGUCUUGGCCAUUUAUCCCCUCAAUUUGCAGCACCCCAGAUCUACUGCGUUGCGCACGAGUACACUAUAUAUUUUUUCGUUUUCUUCCUCCACUGCCAUGGUAUCUGGUAGUUGCUAGAGAGAGAACGAGAGAAUGUAGAGGAUAGAGAGAGAGGAUUUUAGGGCUUGGGAGUGAAGUUGAGUGGUUGUGGGCGUG